UAUCACUAANAUUAGCAAUCUGGCCCUCUGUCNGCGUCCGAGUUGUAAUUUGAAGAAGGUAUCUUUGGUUUUGGCUCUUGUCUAUGUUCCUUGGAACAGGACGUCACAGAGGGUGAGAAUCCCGUGCGAUGAGAUGCCCAAUUCCAUGUAAAGUUCCUUCGACGAGUCGAGUUGUUUGGGAAUGCAGCUCUAAGUGGGUGGUAAAUUCCAUCUAAAGCUAAAUAUUGGCGAGAGACCGAUAGCGAACAAGUACUGUGAAGGAAAGAUGAAAAGAACUUUGAAAAGAGAGUGAAAAAGUACGUGAAAUUGUUGAAAGGGAAGGGCUUGAGAUCAGACUUGGAAUUUUCCAGCAAUGGAGCUUUCCGGGCCAGCAUCAGUUUGGAUGGCAGGAUAAUUGCGUAGGAAAGUGGCACCACCUCGGUGGUGUGUUAUAGCCUGCGUCGAUACUGCCUAUCUAGACUGAGGACUGCGUCUUUGACUAGGAUGCUGGCAUAAUGAUCUUAAGCC
This 507-nucleotide ribosomal RNA is filed under the name Yamadazyma lessepsii. Its description in RNAcentral is "eukaryotic LSU rRNA". It matches the Rfam family "Eukaryotic large subunit ribosomal RNA", at positions 103 to 646 of the family's 3401-position model. The record is from RNAcentral. Lineage: Eukaryota; Fungi; Ascomycota; Pichiomycetes; Serinales; Debaryomycetaceae.